GGGCUAUUAGCUCAGGUGGUUAGAGCGCACCCCUGAUAAGGGUGAGAUCCUUAGUUCGAGUCCAGGGUGGCCCA
This 74-nucleotide transfer RNA is filed under the name Microcystis sp. AICB 833. Its description in RNAcentral is "tRNA-Ile". It matches the Rfam family "tRNA". From Rfam's summary of the family: Transfer RNA (tRNA) molecules are approximately 80 nucleotides in length. The record is from RNAcentral. Lineage: Bacteria; Bacillati; Cyanobacteriota; Cyanophyceae; Chroococcales; Microcystaceae.